CCUACGGGAGGCAGCAGUGGGGAAUAUUGCACAAUGGGGGAAACCCUGAUGCAGCGACGCCGCGUGAGUGAAGAAGUAUUUCUGUAUGUUAAGCUCUAUCAGCAGGGAAGAAAAUGACGGUACCUGAUUAAGAAGCCCCGGCUAACUACGUGCCGGCAGCCGCGGUAAUACGUAGGGGGCAAGCGUUAUCCGGAUUUACUGGGUGUAAAGGGGGCGUAGGCGGCAGGGCAAGUCUGCAGUGAAAUGCCGGGGCUUAACCCCGGAACUGCUUUGGAAACUGUGCAGCUAGAGUGCAGGAGAGGUAAGUGGAAUUCCUAGUGUAGCGGUGAAAUGCGUAGAUAUUAGGAGGAACACCAGUUGCGAAGGUGGCUUACUGGACUGUAACUGACGUUGAGGCUCGAAAGCGUGGGGAGCAAACAGGAUUAGAUACCCCAGUAGUC
This 440-nucleotide ribosomal RNA is filed under the name uncultured bacterium. RNAcentral's name for it is "partial 16S ribosomal RNA". It matches the Rfam family "Bacterial small subunit ribosomal RNA", at positions 338 to 795 of the family's 1533-position model. The record is from RNAcentral.